GGAAACUCGUAAAAUUUAUUCAUUUUUACUUACUGUUUAUUUCGAAAAAUUCAACAGAUUCCGAUUCGGACUCUGACUAACACUGAAACUAAGGUGUGGUAACACUUUCAACGGUUGAGUGCUUGGUCCCAUGAAGCCGUUUUAGUGUCCCCAAUACCUCGUCGUCGCAAUGUUGGCGAUCUCUGGGAGGAGCUGCCUGUUCCUCUUCUAAUGGCAUUCAAUGGCAGGGUGUUGUUCGAAAGCCUCGUUUUCCAGCAACUCAAUAUAUCAACAAAUUGUACGAUCUCCCAGAGUCCGCCGAAAUAUUUACAACAGUCCGGAUAAUUUGGAAUAUGAAAACUAAAUUUAGAGUACACAAAAUUGUAUAAUGCAUAAGAAAAAUGUUACUUGGACCAAUAUAUAUUUUUGUACCAACUAAAAAUUUCUGAAAUAUCGAGUAUUCUUUUCGAUUUAUAUCCCCUACAGAAAUCAUUGUUAAACCCUUUCCCAAUCAAAAUCAGAUGGAUCUAAGUGUUCCCCUACUGGGUAUCUGCUGGGUUGCUUGCGUUUUAAUUUUCGCAACUUUGUUGUUGCCAGAGCCUGCCAGAGCCCCCCUCACAAUGGUGCACGGGGCCAGGGCCUGCCCCGAAAGUGCAACUCAAUCAGGCAGCGGUCGAGUAUUUCCACAGUUAACCCGCUGCUUCUAAUGAAGCAAUUUUCGUUAAAAGCAGUCACCACAGGAGCACUAGCUCUUCCCCAUCCGGCUGCAACCUGAAUCGCAGAGUUUUUCCUUACCUCCGGCACCCCUAAAUCCUCCAUCAAGUAUGUGGAGGAUUCCUUUUCAACAAUUUUUAGUUGCUUCGGCGCGUGUUUGUUUCAAAAAGCUCAAAUUGCGAGUGCCAGGAACGGAAUGAAAUCGUUUCGAAAGAGCCAGGGAGGCAGGGAGCCAGGGAGCCGGGAGCCAAAAAGAAAGAAAAGGAAUUACAGCUGCCUCUGGCACUGAGUUUUCGCAAUUAUCCACGACCUCCCCUCUCGCCAGACUCCACGUCCCCCACCCCCCAACAGCUACGUGCGAAUUUAUUGAUAGCGAUAUUUUCCAGUUUCCUUUUGGCUUUUGGGGUGGAGGUUUCUGCGGAGGCACUGAAGGGGGGGUUGGAGCAGCGGUGGGAAGAGCUGCAAAGUCCU
RNAcentral lists this small RNA (1164 nucleotides) under Drosophila pseudoobscura pseudoobscura. RNAcentral's name for it is "GA30668". The record is from RNAcentral. Lineage: Eukaryota; Metazoa; Arthropoda; Insecta; Diptera; Drosophilidae.